RNAcentral lists this small RNA (64 nucleotides) under Salmonella enterica. RNAcentral's name for it is "partial RtT sRNA". It matches the Rfam family "RtT RNA", at positions 63 to 130 of the family's 130-position model. Rfam says of the family: This family represents a bacterial cis-regulatory element known as RtT RNA. The exact function of RtT is unknown although it is thought that it may be involved in changing the cellular response in relation to amino acid starvation. The record is from RNAcentral. RNAcentral also lists the same sequence under 4 other names. Lineage: Bacteria; Pseudomonadati; Pseudomonadota; Gammaproteobacteria; Enterobacterales; Enterobacteriaceae.
UAACGUUGCUUUAGCAACGGCCCGAAGGGCGAGGCGAAGCCGAGUCAUCCUGCACGACCCACCA